This 642-nucleotide ribosomal RNA is filed under the name uncultured bacterium. Its description in RNAcentral is "bacterial SSU rRNA". It matches the Rfam family "Bacterial small subunit ribosomal RNA", at positions 232 to 884 of the family's 1533-position model. The record is from RNAcentral.
CGCGGCCUAUCAGCUUGUCGGUGGGGUAGUGGCCUACCAAGGCGACGACGGGUAGCCGGCCUGAGAGGGUGACCGGCCACACUGGGACUGAGACACGGCCCAGACUCCUACGGGAGGCAGCAGUGGGGAAUAUUGCGCAAUGGGCGGAAGCCUGACGCAGCGACGCCGCGUGGGGGAUGACGGCCUUCGGGUUGUAAACCUCUUUCAGCAGGGACGAAGCGGAAGUGACGGUACCUGCAGAAGAAGCACCGGCCAACUACGUGCCAGCAGCCGCAGUAAUACGUAGGGUGCAAGCGUUGUCCGGAAUUAUUGGGCGUAAAGAGCUCGUAGGCGGUCUGUCGCGUCGGCUGUGAAAUCCCGGAGCUCAACUCCGGGUCUGCAGUCGAUACGGGCAAACUGGAGUACUGCAGGGGAGACUGGAAUUCCUGGUGUAGCGGUGAAAUGCGCAGAUAUCAGGAGGAACACCGGUGGCGAAGGCGGGUCUCUGGGCAGUAACUGACGCUGAGGAGCGAAAGCGUGGGGAGCGAACAGGAUUAGAUACCCUGGUAGUCCACGCCGUAAACGUUGGGCGCUAGGUGUGGGGCUCAUUCCACGAGUUCCGUGCCGCAGCUAACGCAUUAAGCGCCCCGCCUGGGGAGUACG